This 1375-nucleotide long non-coding RNA is filed under the name Struthio camelus australis. RNAcentral describes it as "lncRNA (ENSSCUG00000008992.1)". The record is from RNAcentral. Lineage: Eukaryota; Metazoa; Chordata; Aves; Struthioniformes; Struthionidae.
CUUAAGUGAUUUUUUUGAGCCAUGAACAUUAAAAUAUGAUUAAAAAGCCAUUUUUAAGUCUAGCUUGUAUUUACACAUUUUAAUUGGGAACGAAAGAAAAGCAAGCUGUUUGCAAAACUAAUGUGUUUACAUGAAGCUUCAGUAUUAUCUGAAAUCACCGAUUACAUGAUGAAGCCGCGUAGAUAAUCAGUUUUGUCAGUUUGAGGAUUGAAAAAGCCAAAUAAACCAACGAAGAAUAAAAAAACUCACGACUUGGAGAAACAGUAUUGUGACUGAGAUGAAAGCAGUAAUUCUGUUUUAGUCCUGCUUUGCAUAAAGAAUGGGAAAAGAUAAAUUUAAUUUUAGUUGAGAUAGAUUAUGAUUGUACUGAAACUUUCCUGUUUUUUUCAGUGACACGCUCAUAAAAGAUGAUAGUUUAAGUACUGUGGGGACGAGAAUGUCAUGGCCACUGAUUAUCACUUUGAAUAACGUGAUCUUCGCAGGACAAGAGAGCCAACAGGAAAUACGACCAAGUUAUCUUGGUCUAAGAAGCAGUUUAAUGGUCGUCUCUGUAUCUCCAAUCAGCAUCUCUUCAGGGCUCAUCAGUGCAACAUUGUGAACAAUUAAAGCACAUCUCAUCACUGCAAUGCGCUUAGGUGCACUUGCUAAGAUAUUCCGCUCCAUUGCGUACCCCGGAGGCGAGACCAGCUUUAGGGCACAUGUGCCCAAGUUUCUGUGUCUCAUCCUGGUGACGGCUACACACAUCCUGAUGCUGCCUUGCUGCUCAGAAGACGUCUUGGAUCCAAGCGGGAUCUCAGCUUCAAAGGUGUAAGGAGUAUGGAAAUUGGAAUUGGCAUCCUUGGAACUGGCUUUAUUGCCAAUCCUAAUGAUAUAAAACUAUACGGAAGAAAAUCAUAAUCUGAUGGCCGUCAUCUGUGAGCUUAUGUAAUAGUGCAGUAAUUCUUCCUUUGGAUAAGACAAAAACAAUGUACGAAGACAACUAAUGUUUGUGAUUUUGAGGCUUGUUUGUAUCCUAUAUAUGUUAUAUGGGGUUUUUUCCUCAUUAAAAUAUGUUUUUGAAAAAUGUUUAUAGAUCAGGAGGUAGCCUUGCAAAAAUUCUAAAAAUCUUGAAAAUGCAUGCAAAAAUAUUCUGGAUAUUAAGAGGAAGGUGAAACUGACAUUGAAAUUACAAUGAAUUAUUAUGGAAUUAUUAUACUGAGGAGUGAGGCUGAGGAAAUCGGUUGAUUUUUAGCUAUUAAGUCUAGGCAAACCUGUUGCUUGAAUUGGCAUUGCAGGUAUUGAGACAUAAAUCAGAGGGGAUUGAUCCUUACCAUAUUAAAAACUUGAUCUGAUGGCUGGAAAUAAAUUUAUUGAUUGGUAUUUAGAUUGUGAUUUU